AGAGUUUGAUCAUGGCUCAGGAUGAACGCUAGCGGCAGGCCUAACACAUGCAAGUCGAGGGGUAUGAGGUGCUUGCACCUCAGAGACCGGCGCACGGGUGCGUAACGCGUAUGCAAUCUACCUUGUACAGGGGGAUAGCCCAGAGAAAUUUGGAUUAAUACCCCAUAGUAUUAAUGAUUGGCAUCAAUUAUUAAUUAAAGAUUUAUCGGUACGAGAUGAGCAUGCGUCCUAUUAGUUAGUUGGUGAGGUAACGGCUCACCAAGGCUACGAUAGGUAGGGGUCCUGAGAGGGAGAUCCCCCACACUGGUACUGAGACACGGACCAGACUCCUACGGGAGGCAGCAGUGAGGAAUAUUGGACAAUGGGCGAGAGCCUGAUCCAGCCUUGCCGCGUGCAGGAAGACGGCCCUAUGGGUUGUAAACUGCUUUUAUACGGGAAGAAUAAGCCCCAUGCGUGGGGUGAUGACGGUACCGUAAGAAUAAGGAUCGGCUAACUCCGUGCCAGCAGCCGCGGUAAUAC
Molecule: ribosomal RNA, 519 nt
Filed under: uncultured bacterium
Lineage: Bacteria
Description: bacterial SSU rRNA
Rfam family: Bacterial small subunit ribosomal RNA
Source: RNAcentral